ACAAACUUGGUCAUUUAGAGGAAGUAAAAGUCGUAACAAGGUAUCCGUAGGUGAACCUGCGGAUGGAUCAUUACCAAUUUAACUUUACAGUUUGUCGUAGUCAUUGCUUCGGCGAUGGGUACACAACUACCAUGUAAACGUUGAACUUGAUCAUCAGUGUUGUGGACUGCCGGUCUGAUUUAUUUCGGUCAGGCAUUCCCCACACUGAUACCACUUUAUAUAUAACAUAUACUACUCGUAUAUACUACAAACAAAAUACAGUUUUAAUAGGACUUAUCAUGGACCGAGUGGGUAACAGCCUCAGUCUUAAAAACAUAAUAACUAUUACAACUUUCAGCAAUGGAUCUCUAGGCUCUCGCAUCGAUGAAGAACGCAGC
Molecule: unclassified non-coding RNA, 377 nt
Filed under: uncultured fungus
Lineage: Eukaryota; Fungi
Description: partial contains small subunit ribosomal RNA, internal transcribed spacer 1, and 5.8S ribosomal RNA
Rfam family: Eukaryotic small subunit ribosomal RNA (bases 1-73)
Source: RNAcentral